RNAcentral lists this ribosomal RNA (253 nucleotides) under uncultured bacterium. Its description in RNAcentral is "partial 16S ribosomal RNA". It matches the Rfam family "Bacterial small subunit ribosomal RNA", at positions 524 to 776 of the family's 1533-position model. The record is from RNAcentral.
UACGUAGGGGGCAAGCGUUAUCCGGAUUUACUGGGUGUAAAGGGAGCGUAGACGGUUAUGCAAGUCAGAAGUGAACGCCCAAAGCUCAACUUCGGGACUGCUUUUGAAACUGUGUAACUAGAGUGCAGGAGGGGUAAGCGGAAUUCCUAGUGUAGCGGUGAAAUGCGUAGAUAUUAGGAGGAACACCGGCGGCGAAGGCGGCUUACUGGACUGUAACUGACGUUGAGGCUCGAAAGCGUGGGGAGCAAACAGG